Molecule: ribosomal RNA, 1257 nt
Filed under: Amynthas morrisi
Lineage: Eukaryota; Metazoa; Annelida; Clitellata; Crassiclitellata; Megascolecidae
Description: 16S ribosomal RNA
Rfam family: Archaeal large subunit ribosomal RNA (bases 560-1257)
Source: RNAcentral
GCAUAUACAGCACGCCCCUACAAUAACAACAUAUAAUAAAAACAAUCAAAUAUUGAAUAACAAAUACAAAAGUACAGAAAUGGAAAAUAUAUUUUAUAAUAGUAAUUUUUAACAACUGUACCUUGUGCAUUAUGGUUUUACAAGAAAAUAAUUAAAAAUAUAUAUCCCGAAUUCUAAGUGAGAUGUUAAACUGCUGUUAAGAACCCAUUAGUAGCUGUAGAAAAAGUUUUAAAAGACAGUUUAACAGAGGCUACAUACCAUCCGCAUAAGAAUAUAGCUGGUUUUCAACAAACAUUAUAUAUUAAAGCAUAUAAUUACAUUAUAGUGUUAUAUUAUUGAGGAUAAGCCCAAUAAUUUAAACAAUAUACAAUCAGAUCUACCAUACUACAUAGGCCUAAAAUCAGCCAACUAAAAUACUUUACCGUAAUAAAUAAAGACAAAAUAUAUAAUAUUUAUAUGUUAAAGAAAGUUGAAAUAAUGGACAAGCCCUUGCUCCAAAUCUACUAUGUAAAAAUAAGUAUUAUAAAUCUAUUACUACAACAACCUAGUAAAUACAACAAAUUAGACAUAAUAAUUAAUUAAGGAACUCGGCAAAUUACUAUUUCGACUGUUUAACAAAAACAUUGUCUCAUGAAAUAAAUAUGAGAUAAUACCUGCCCAGUGACAAAUGUUCAACGGCCGCGGUAUCCUAACCGUGCAAAGGUAGCAUAAUCAUUUGCCUAUUAAUUGUAGGCUAGAAUGAAAGGGUUAACGAAAUAAAAGCUGUCUCAAUUAAUUAACUAAAAAUUAUUUUCUAUCUGAAGAAAGGUAGAUAAUCUCGAAGGACAAGAAGACCCUAUAGAGCUUAAUUUUAAUUAUAGAAUUAUACUAUAUAAAUAUUCGGUUGGGGCGACCCAGGGCUAAUUAAUCACCCAUUAAACAAAAGAUAAAUAAAUCAAACAAAUGACCCUUAAAAGAUCACAAGACCAAGCUACCUUAGGGAUAACAGGCUAAUCCUACUUAAGAGUCCUUAUCAACAGUAGGGUUUGGCACCUCGAUGUUGGCUUAGGGUAUCUAUAUGGCGCAAAAGUCAUAUGAAGAUGGUUUGUUCAACCAGUAAUAUCCCUACAUGAGCUGAGUUCAGACCGGCGUAAGCCAGGUUAGCUUCUAUCCUCGACAACUACACUUACUCCUAGUACGAAAGGACCUGAGUAAAGUAAUAACUUACAUAAAAGAACUCAUAUAAUUAUAUAUAAAAAUUUUACAAUAUAAACUAUA